UUGCUCUUCAACGAGGAAUGCCUAGUAAGCGCAUGUCAUCAGCAUGCGUUGAUUACGUCCCUGCCCUUUGUACACACCGCCCGUCGCUACAACCGAUUGAAUGGCUUAGUGAGGCCUUCGGACUGGGCCAAGGAGGUUGGAAACGACCACCCAGGCUCGGAAAGUUCGUCAAACUUGGUCAUUUAGAGGAUGUAAAAGUCGUAACAAGGUUUCCGUAGGUGAACCUGCGGAAGGAUCAUUAAAGAGUUAGGGUCCCAGUGGCCCAACCUCCAACCCUCUGUUGUUAUAACUAUCUUGUUGCUUUGGCGGGACCGUUCGGUCUCCGAGCGCGUCAACCCCCGGGUCGACGAGCGCCCGCCAGAGUCCAACCAAACUCUUGUAUUAAACCAGUCGUCUGAGUACAAAAUUUUAAUUAAAUUAAAACUUUCAACAACGGAUCUCUUGGUUCUCGCAUCGAUGAAGAACGCAGCGAAAUGCGAUAAGUAAUGUGAAUUGCGGAAUUCAGUGAAUCAUCGAAUCUUUGAACGCACAUUGCGCCCCUUGGUAUUCCGAGGGGCAUGCCUGUUCGAGCGUCAUUACACCACUCAAGCACCGCUUGGUAUUGGGCAUCGUCCGUCGAAAGGCGGGCGUGCCUCGAAGACCUCGGCGGGGUUUCUCCAACUUCGGGCGUAGUAGAGUUAAAUCAAAACGUCUUAUAAGCUUGGUGAGAUCUCAUUGCCGUUAAACCUUUUUAUUUUCAGGUUGACCUCGGAUCAGGUAGGGAUACCCGCUGAACUUAAGCAUAUCAAUAAGCGGAGGA
This 799-nucleotide ribosomal RNA is filed under the name uncultured fungus. RNAcentral's name for it is "eukaryotic LSU rRNA". The stretch from base 1 to 241 matches the Rfam family "Eukaryotic small subunit ribosomal RNA", at positions 1593 to 1831 of the family's 1831-position model. The record is from RNAcentral. Lineage: Eukaryota; Fungi.